CUAAUGAAAUAAUUUUUGAAAAAUACUUUAGUAAAGGAAACUCUGUGUGGCAUAGAGGAGCAUAGGACCUUGUCCUGUGAUGUACCAUCCCUUUCCACCCCACUGGAGAUCAAGCCGGGCCUUGAGUCUGCACCUGCUUGUUCCUGCAGCCUCUCAGAGACCUCUGGACCACGACUGGGGAGAUCAACCAUGUAGGAAACAGUA
Sorex fumeus (smoky shrew) is the source of this 204-nucleotide small nucleolar RNA. RefSeq annotates it as small nucleolar RNA SNORA73 family. Lineage: Eukaryota; Metazoa; Chordata; Mammalia; Eulipotyphla; Soricidae. The record is from RefSeq and is a predicted model, not a curated record. The transcript has a single exon.